AAACCUAAAAUAUUUAUCCCUUCCUUCCUCGCAAUAACCCCUCUGAGGACAACCACAAAAUUGAUAAGGAGGACACAAAGAAACUGACUGACCUUCACUCUCCUAAGAUUGGUCAAACUGUGCCCGAGAAUUAUCACCACCUGGAUGAUGCCUGUCUCCUGGCUAAUAAGAAGCCCUACUAGAAAAGGAACCAGAACUCUCCUACUUAUUUUUAUGUCACUUGCCACUAUUUCUACCACUCUAAGACUGACCACCUCCCUAAUUAGAAAACCUGCU
Molecule: long non-coding RNA, 276 nt
Filed under: Capsicum annuum
Lineage: Eukaryota; Viridiplantae; Streptophyta; Magnoliopsida; Solanales; Solanaceae
Description: long non-coding RNA (CANN_LNC005319)
Source: RNAcentral